This 241-nucleotide long non-coding RNA is filed under the name Lathyrus oleraceus (garden pea). Its description in RNAcentral is "Pisum sativum (pea) long non-coding RNA (PSAT_LNC023104)". Lineage: Eukaryota; Viridiplantae; Streptophyta; Magnoliopsida; Fabales; Fabaceae. The record is from RNAcentral.
AUUUUUUAGUUUGAAAAGAUUAAGAUUUAAAUAACUUGACUCAUUAAUUUAUUUUCAACUUUUAAAAUAGUUUAAUAUUUUUAACAAUACUUACUUUUUUUUUUUAAUUUUAUCAUUCAAUAUAUUUAUACUAUACUAUUUAAUGUAUUACAAAGCAAUACUAUUUAAUUUAUUACAAAUAAAAAAAAGUUACUCACUUAUAUUUUUAUUUAUUAUAUAUCCAUAUAUCAUUUUGAUUUCC